AACGAAGUCAGAUUGCUAAGACAGCUAGGAUGUUGGCUUGGAAGCAGCCAUUCAUUUAAAGAGUGCGUAACAGCUCACUAGUCGAGGAGUUUGGCGUGGAUAAUAAUCGGGCAUCAAGCAAUUUACCGAAGCUAUGGGAUCAGUAAUGAUCGGUAGGGGAGCAUUCCACUCCGCGUCGAAGGUGAAGCGUGAGCUUUGCUGGAGCGUGUGGAAAAGCAAAUGUAGGUAUAAGUAACGAUAAAGGGGGUGAGAAACCCCCUCGCCGAAAGACUAAGGUUUCCUGAUCAACGCUAAUCGGAUCAGGGUUAGUCGGGUCCUAAGGCUCAGCCGAACGGUGAGGCCGAUGGCAGAACAGGUUAAUAUUCCUGUACUACCUUAAAGAGUGACGUGGAGACGGAGGAGUGACAGCGCCGCGGACUGACGGAAUAGUCCGUUGAAGGGUGUAGAUGUUGAUUAUCCCAGGCAAAUCCGGGAUAAGAGUCGAACCUGACAGUAUACCAAUUUCCUCGGAAAACGGUAAUAGUGCGUGUAAACAUACUCCC
This 542-nucleotide ribosomal RNA is filed under the name Salmonella enterica subsp. enterica serovar Typhimurium. RNAcentral describes it as "partial 23S ribosomal RNA". It matches the Rfam family "Bacterial large subunit ribosomal RNA", at positions 1069 to 1609 of the family's 2925-position model. The record is from RNAcentral. Lineage: Bacteria; Pseudomonadati; Pseudomonadota; Gammaproteobacteria; Enterobacterales; Enterobacteriaceae.